UACGUAGGGCGCAAGCGUUGUCCGGAAUUAUUGGGCGUAAAGAGCUCGUAGGCGGUUUGUCGCGUCUGCCGUGAAAGUCCGGGGCUCAACUCCGGAUCUGCGGUGGGUACGGGCAGACUAGAGUGAUGUAGGGGAGACUGGAAUUCCUGGUGUAGCGGUGAAAUGCGCAGAUAUCAGGAGGAAAACCGAUGGCGAAGGCAGGUCUCUGGGCAUUAACUGACGCUGAGGAGCGAAAGCAUGGGGAGCAAACAGG
This 253-nucleotide ribosomal RNA is filed under the name uncultured bacterium. RNAcentral describes it as "partial 16S ribosomal RNA". It matches the Rfam family "Bacterial small subunit ribosomal RNA", at positions 524 to 776 of the family's 1533-position model. The record is from RNAcentral.